Long non-coding RNA from Marmota monax (woodchuck), 3657 nucleotides. RefSeq lists it as uncharacterized. The transcript has 2 exons. Lineage: Eukaryota; Metazoa; Chordata; Mammalia; Rodentia; Sciuridae. The record is from RefSeq and is a predicted model, not a curated record.
CGCUGUUCAGCUGCUGCAGAUCCCUCCCUGGACAGACUCAGGUGACCUCUGCGCCAGACCCUGGCGUGGAGCUGCUGGGGACAGGCAGGCUCCUGCCCAGCCCCGGUGUCUCGCUCUGCAGGGGGGGUCAGCAGGCAGAGGCCCAGGGACCUGGUGGGGCAGGGGUCAUAGGCUGUGGGCAUGGUCCCCCGUCCCCAGGGUGCGUCCCAAGGCUGCAGAGGAAUCCGUCUAAGCCACUCUCCCACCUCCGAGGACCCCCACGCCCCAGGCACAGAGCUCAGGGAGACUCAGGGUGUGGACUCCAGGGGUCACCGGCUCCUCCCUCCAGAGGCCCUUCCCUCCUCCCUACAGCUGUCCUGCUGGGGCGGCCUCGUCUGUCCAGCCAGUGGCCCUGCUCCCAUCCCAGCAGAGCUUCCAGCCCCCAGCCACCUGCUCCGCAGCUGCUCCAGACCGCGCCUCCCGCCAACCCACCCUGUCCUCCGGAGGAGGCUGGGAGGCCCAGAGAGGCUGAGUCACACAGCUGGGCUGGGAGCCAGGCCGCGGCCUCCGAGGGCCUCACCCAGCUGGCCCUGGACAUGGCCCUGCUGCUGGCCUGGCCUCCACUCUCGGCGGGGCGGGGCGGGGCGGGCCCAGCAGGGGAGGCCAGCAGUGGGCAUGAGAGCCUCCUGGUGGAGCUGCCAGCCUCGGUCACGGUUUUACAGGGCAGUCCACUCUGCAGCAGGACCGCCCCCACCACGGGGCCAGCAGAGUGACCCUGGAGGAGCCAGCAGAGUGACCCUGGAGGAGCGUGUGUCCCCCUGGGCCUCGUGUCCCUCUCUGUGAGGGGCCUGAGUAGCUGCCACCACCCCUGGGGAACAAGCGAAGUGGCGUCUUUUCCGCCCGCCUGUCCCGGGCGCAGCCUCGAGGAGGAGCCGGGAAAUCCGGAGGCGGCGCAGCCCCGGCGCCUGGGCCCAGGGAGGGGGCGCCGGCGCCCGGCACCGCCCAGAUGCGCCAGGGCUGCCAGCAUUCCUGGAAGGUAACGCAGCCGCCCGCGGCCAGAUGUGCAUCCCCAACAGCUGCCCUGCGCUCACAAGGUCAGCGCCUGGCUCCAGCCAGCCGCCGCCCCGCCCACCCGGCACCCCUAGGCGGCCGGCAGGAGGGGGCGAGGGCGGCAGCGGGUCCCCCUGGCUCCCAGGGUGCCUGCCCGCCCCCACCCGGAGGCCACGGUCACUUCUGGGGGCGUGGGGAGCAGGGAGCAGGUCGCCUGGCGCACGCCCCCCCCCUGCCCGCCUGGUGGGCGGCUCCGCCUCUUUCUCUGGAGGAAAGCUCCAGAUGCGCUAAUCCCCAGCUGGGCCAGAUUUGCCGGCGGCUCCCCUCCUGCAGCCCAGAGCUCCCGCGGCUGCGGGUGGGGUGGUCUGGUCUCCACCUCCCCUCUCCCACCUGAGGGUCAAGGGCCAGCCAGGCCGCCCGCUUUGAGAUGGGCCCGUUCCCAGGGAACGCAGGCACCUCUGAGCCCCGUCUUCCUGUCCCCUGGGAGUGAUGAGAAGAGCUCAUGGGCUGCAGCAGCUCAGCCACCUCCCUGCCACUCAGCCCGUCCUACUGCAAGUCCGCCUCCUGAGCUCAGAACAGCCCUCCCCACUGCUGGCUCACUCAGGAGACCCCAGGAGCUGGGACUGGAAUCAAUCCUCAGCCCAGACAAAGGAACUGAGGCCCAGAGCCCCCAGGAGUGGGCCUCCUGAGGCCAUGUGGCAGGACAGUGGCCUGGGCUCUGCUCCACUCCUGAGCAGGACGCAGCACCAGGGAGCGCUCAUGAUCCUGCGUCUCUGGACACUCACUCCGCCCACCAGGAGCCUGUCCACCACCCAUCUGAGAUGUCCAAGUCAGGGUCCUCCUGGUCACCUGAGUUUCAUCCUUCCCAGGGAAGGCUGGGAACAAGGGAGUCAGUGACAAAUGGCCAGUGACAUUCCCAAACUCAGCACUGGCCUUCCCCGAGUGGCCCGGGAAGAGGUCGAGCUGAGCUUCCGGAUCUUCUCGGGGUUCAGAAGGCGGCUCCCGGGAAGGUGCUGCAGAGGUCCCGGUUCCUCUGUCACCUGAGACGAGCAUCUCCUGCCAGGGGUCACCCAAAGCAGGUGCCCACCACGCUCUGCCACUCGAAGCCACCCUCGCCUGGCCUGGCAAGGUCCCAGGGGCCAGCACCCCCGGUCCAGCAGCAGAGGGCGAGGCCCAGCAGUGGCCUCCCAGGCCGCAGACGGAGCUGCAGAGACCCGCGGCAGCCGUCCCCAACAGGCCUGAGACCAGCUCCAGGGCUGUCCCUCGAGCUCCCCCAUGCUGCCUUCUACGUCUUCGAAGGUGACAGGUGGCAUCUUAUGCUGGAGGAUGGCAGCGCUACGGGGGGCACGCAGACAGGGAGCCGCAGGGCGCAGAGGACGGGGCAGGGCCGGGCAGCUACAAGCCCUGGCAGCCUGCUGACCGAGACCCGAGUCACAGAGGAAGGCCACAUCCACCCGGCCAUGCCCAUGAGUCACCCACUCACCCUCCCCUUUCACGCCCUGUGCCCCCUCAGGCCCACCCCAGAUCUAACCGCAUCAGAUCCUCCAGGCUCGGGGGGCUGUCAAUCAACACCCCCCGCCCCGGGGCCUGGCACACCCUAGACUGGCCAAUCAGCACUGGCCUGGGCGUUAGCUGGGAACCUCUGUCCCUCCCCAGAGUCACCUAGAAUGGCUGCUGGCUGUCCCUGAUACCACGUGGGGGGCAGCUCCUGGAGAAGGAGCCCCUCGGGAGGACACAGAGGCAGGGGCCUGGGGUGUCCGGGAGCCCCGGGUCCCGAGGGCUGCAGCCAGUCUCGGCCUCCAGAGAGGCCACAGAGCUCCCUCCUGCUGGAGCCAGCUGAAGUGGGCCUGGUCAUCGUGAGCAGAGGGCCCCAGGGGACACGGCCCUGCAGGACGCACAGGAGACUCGGAGCUGUGGCAGCUCAGCCCACAGCCACACGCAGGCACGCCAGGCACGUCACCUGUCCUCACUGCCACCGCCGACCCCAGCUGGAGAGGCGCAGCCAGGCCACAGGGCCUGGGCUCCAGAGGCCGUCCCCAGCCUCAGUUUCCCAUCUGUAAAUGGGGUCAGCAGCUCCUCCAGAGCAGGUCACUGGGAGGCUCGGCCGGGGACACUCCCGGCCACCCUCGCAGUGGCCACACGGCCCAGCCUGGCCCGGGCGUCUGAGGUCAGGUACACGCGCUCUCAGGCCUGCUCUUACAGAUGGCGGGCACCCACCCUGGACAAGUGGACCCCGGUCUGCUCAUCUUUCUGGGGACACUUCCUUCCCCAAAGAGGAAAGGACAGGCAAAGCCUCUGCCCUCCUGUCCUGCUCCUGGAGGCUGUCACGCGAGAAUGUGAUGCUCGGCGCUACGGCAGCUAUCUUGCAACCCUGAGAAAACGGCAUUUGGAUUUGCUUUGCUUUAAGGAGAAGGCCCUUUUCUGUCGGCUUGUGGUUGCAGGCUGCACUUUAACUUCCAAAGCAGUUAAGAGCAGGGAUUCUGGCCCCGGCUGCCUGUGUGACCUCAAGGCAAGUUACUUAACUUCUCUGUGCCUUAGUUCCCUUUUCUAUUAAACAGGAAUGAUUUUCCUUAUUUUAUUUUAUCGAUCUUUUUUAAAAUAGAUGACAGCAGAAUGCGUUACAAUUUA